Molecule: ribosomal RNA, 140 nt
Filed under: uncultured bacterium
Lineage: Bacteria
Description: partial 16S ribosomal RNA
Rfam family: Bacterial small subunit ribosomal RNA
Source: RNAcentral
CCAGCCAAGUAGCGUGCAGGAUGACGGCCCUAUGGGUUGUAAACUGCUUUUAUGUGAGAAUAAAGUUAGGUAUGUAUACUUAUUUGCAUGUAUCACAUGAAUAAGGACCGGCUAAUUCCGUGCCAGCGAGCCGCGGUAAU